This 4384-nucleotide unclassified non-coding RNA is filed under the name Lucilia cuprina (Australian sheep blowfly). Its description in RNAcentral is "protein O-mannosyl-transferase TMTC2, transcript variant X1". Lineage: Eukaryota; Metazoa; Arthropoda; Insecta; Diptera; Calliphoridae. The record is from RNAcentral.
UAAAUUAAAAAUAUCACAUUAUUUACGAAAAACUUGCAAAUUUGAAUUAAGGGAAAAGUGUAAUAAAAUUAAAAUUUUUUGAUUCAAACUUUUUAAGCUGCAAUUUAUAUAAAAAUAAUAUUACAAUUUGUUUGUUUUAUUUUGUGUAUUUAUAUAGAUUUCUUUUUAAAAGAAGAUCCGAGAGUGUGUGUUUAAGUUUUUAGAACUGUGAGUAAAUUUUUGUACGACUUACUCCCGCGAGUGGAAGGAAAACUCUCGGGUUUUUGUUAAAUCUUUCGGUGUUGCGAUUCCUUUUAUUAUUUUUGUUUUUAUGAUUAUUUUGCUUAUUUUUGUGUCAACUCGUUUAAAUUGAAAAUUUGGUUUUAUACAAAAAGAACGUUUUUUGUAUUCUGCAUGAGAAAAAAGGAUAAAUAAAAUUCGGUAUAUUAAACGAAUCAGAAAGAGCAUACAACAUAUACUCCAAAAACGCAAAAAGGAGUAGAGAAUAAAUAAAUGAAGCAAAAUUAAUGAAAAAUUAAGUGAAAAUUAAAUGAAAAGUGUUUCCAAUUAAAACUAAAUUUAAAUCACAUUCAACUUGGCAACUAGAAAUAUGCUACACAAAAAAGUAAAAUAUUGUGCAAUUUUGGAAUAUAAAAUGCUAAUGAUACAAAUAAAUGACUGUCAUCAGUUUUGAAAAUGGAGCAGCAACAAAAAACAACAAAUGCAAUGGAUAACAUUUACGCACACACAAACAAAUGUAAAUGAAUAUUGAAGCAACAAAUGAAUGAAAAUAAACAGCAGAAGAAACAACAACAAAGAAAACAAUAAAACAUAAAACUAGAUUUCAAUUAACGGCAAAUAAAUGUCAUAAUUACAAAUUUAAUUAAAGCAAGCAUAUCUCUUUUGCCCACUGUCUCUCUUCCACUCACUAUGAUGACAAGCACUAACAAAAUUAAUGGAAACAACUAAAGAGCGAUAAUAAUUAUUAAAUUUAACUACCAAAAGGCAAACAUAAACAAAUACUCAAAUAGCAGCUCACUAAAAACAAAAAUAAAACUACAUCAUACAAAAAAUCUAAUAACAAAACAAUAAUAAAAACAUUGCAGCAACAUUAAUUUCAAUUAAAUAUAUAAAAAUAAUAACAAUAAAAAAAUGCAGGAAUUAAUUUAUUAAUAUACACAAAACAAAAAAUGCUAAUUGUUAAAAACAUCAAGAAUUCAGAAACAAAAUAACAUAAAUACAUAUUUUAUACUCCCUACAUAUUAUGCAGUAAAUGAGAUAAAAAUAGUAAAUUUAAUAGAAAACUAUAUUGUUUAACUUUAUUAUUGGAUGUGAUGUUGUAUAAACAAAUUUACUUACUAACACAUACAUAUACACACAUAUGUUUUUAAACUCAUACAAACAUAAAACUGAAGAGAACUAUUUAAAAGCUACAUUAAAACAAAAAACUAAAUUUAAAUCCUAUCCUUCAUUAAAGGAUCUACAUUAACAAAAACGGCAAUAAUAACACACACAAGAGGAAAAACUUUACGUUACAGUAAACAAACUUUUAUGUCAAGAUACUAAUGUUAAACACGUUUAAGCCUAUUGAUCCCAAUCAUGAUGGACUAUACUAGCUUGGGCUGUUGUGCUUUGGCAUUUAUUUUGUAUUUAAAUACAUUAAAUUCUGGAUUUGUUUAUGAUGACAGACGUGCUAUUUUAGCCAACACAGAUGUCUCAGGCACUGCGUCCUGGCAGAGUGCCUUUCUACAUGACUACUGGGGCACGCCGCUAACUGACAGUGGCUCUCACGGUUCUUAUCGACCGUUGACAGUUCUCACCUUCAAAUUGAAUUUUAUACUAAGUGGCUAUAAUCCUUGGGGCUUCCAUCUGGUCAACAAUUUACUUCACUGUUUAGCAACGGGCUUGGUAGUGAAGGUGGCUCGACACUUUCUCUCCUCAGUGUGGGGUGUUGUAGCGACGGGAGCACUCUUCGCUGCACACCCCAUUCAUACAGAAGCUGUAGCAGGAAUUGUAGGCAGAGCUGAUUUGGCCGCCUGUGUCUGUUAUUUACUUACCUUUCUCACUUAUAUGCGUCACAUUGCGUGGCGAGAGAGAGGCGAUCCACUGCAGUGGUUAGCUUUAAGUUUAACUUUAGUUUCCUCUAUAGCUGCAUUAUUGUUUAAAGAAACAGCCAUCACUGCUUUAAUAAUAUGCGGAAUGUUUGAUGUGAUACGUGGCUUAAGCGGUUUAAGAGACAAGCACCGCAUACGUUCGGUAUGUGUGUUAACUUCAGUUCUUCUUGGCACGGUUUAUUGUCGUUUGGCGGUGAUACCUCGCCCCCAAACAUUAUUCUCAACUGCAGACAAUCCCAUAGCGAAAACCAACUCCGCGUGGACACGUUUUUUGACAUUUCUUUAUCUUCCGGUAUUCAAUUUCAAACUAUUGCUAAAUCCACAAGUGCUUAGUUUUGAUUGGGGUAUGAAUGCAAUACCACGCAUAAACUCCAUAUGGGAUGGACGCAACGUGUUGAGUAUGGGCUUCUAUGGAGCAUUAACCUACACGGCCUGGCAAUGUUGCCGUCUACUGCUGCAACGCCAUAAGCGUCUGCAAUACUACGCACACUAUAAAACCAGGCAACAGGCGAGUUCGUCUUAUGGAGUAACGGGGGCACAAUACCAUUUACAACCACAAAUGCAGCGUAAGUCACGCACUAAACGAAAAUAUUGCAAACAGGUACAGUGUCAAACCUCAAAUGGAACAACAGUAACAGUAACAAGUGACAACCAAACACAACCCUACUACAUGAUGACUCCACCACCAUCACCACCCACACAACACUAUUCAACAAGCACGCCAAUACUAACAACAAACUAUUCUUCGCUUAACAGCACCACAGCAUAUCUCAAGCACAAACUAUUGGGCAUAAAUAAUCCCCACAUCUGUGGUGAUUGCAAACAGGAAUUGAGUUCCGGUCAUCAUACAAACUCAUGUCGGGUGUUGAACAAUAACAAUAAUGUUUUAACACUGAACCACUCAAAUGUUUAUCACACAGGCUGCUGUUGCCAUCAGCUAAUGUCUUCCAGUGACGUGUCGUCCAACGGCCCACCACCACAAAUCUUUACAUUUGCUUUGCAAAAGGCUAUAGCCUCAGUGAUUGCAGCACGUAGUUCCCGCAGUAGUAGUAGUUGCAGCAACUCAACAACGGCCAGUAACAAAAGUUCCGAUAGUAGUGCUUCAUCUACAUGCAGUUCAGGAUCAUCACUAUCCUCGAAGUCAUUAUCGUCACAUAGAAAUCUUUGCUUGGCAACAUGGUCGUCGAUACAGCAAGAGGAUUUCAUGUUAAGUGAUAUACCUCACAAGUGUGCAAAUGUCAGUGUCUUGUUGAUGGCACUAGCUUUUUUAACGCUACCUUUUCUUCCCGCCACAAAUCUUGUCUUCUAUGUGGGGUUUGUAGUGGCAGAACGCCUGUUAUAUUUGCCCAGCAUUGGUUUUUGUCUAUUAGUCGGCUUUGGCUUCGGCAAAUUAAUAGAUCGUGUGCGAACGAGUAAAAACCUCCGUCAUCAACAAAUGCUUAUACUGAGUUUGUGUCUGGUGUUGUGUGCUCUGAGUGCGAGGACAAUAAAACGCAACUUGGAUUGGCGAGAUGAGGAGAGUUUAUAUCGUAGUGCUGUGCAAAUAAAUCCACCUAAAGCUCUUGGCAAUUUAGGAAGUGUCCUUAGUUCUCAGGCUCGUUACAAGGAAGCUGAGGAAGUUUUGUUAGAAGCCAUUAAAUAUAGGCCUAAUAUGGCAGAUGUACAUUUUAAUCUAGGAAUUUUAUAUCAAAAUCAACAAAAUUAUAAAAAUGCUGUAAAAAGUUUUAAGAACGCCUUGAAUUUUCGACCUAACUUAGCGGUGGCCUACUUAAAUUUGGGUAUUUCGCUGAUAGCUUUGGGAAAAUGUCAGGAUGCCGCUCAAAUCUUACAAGAAGGCUCCAAGGUUGAUGGUACCGGAGUGCGUGACCGUUCGGCUCAUGAAAACGCCAGGAUUUCAUCAUAUCUUCAAUUGGGAGCACUUUAUGUCGAACAGGGCAAAUUACAACGUGCUUUAGCAGUUUAUCGUGAAGCUUUGCAUGAACUUCCACAUCAUUACUACAAACGAGAUGUGAUCUAUCAUCGUAUAGGAGACAUUUUUGGUCGCUUAAAACAGUGGGAUGAAGCUGAGAGACAUCAUAGAGCAGCUUUAGAGAUGCAACCAAAUCAGGUGGCUGCACAUCUCUCUUAUGGCGUUACCUUGGCAAGAAAUUAGAGUCUCAGAAGCUGAAAUGUGGUUUAAGCGCGCUUUGCAACUGGCACCUGAAGAAGCCAGCGUUUAUCAUCAUUACGCUGAAUUCUUAACGACACAAUCUCGGUUAGCUGAAGCUAUUUCAUAUAGAGUUAAAGCUGCU